This 512-nucleotide ribosomal RNA is filed under the name uncultured bacterium. RNAcentral's name for it is "partial 16S ribosomal RNA". It matches the Rfam family "Bacterial small subunit ribosomal RNA", at positions 28 to 507 of the family's 1533-position model. The record is from RNAcentral.
GAUGAACGCUGGCGGCGUGCCUAAUACAUGCAAGUCGAACGAAACUUCUUUAUCACCGAGUGCUUGCACUCACCGAUAAAGAGUUGAGUGGCGAACGGGUGAGUAACACGUGGGCAACCUGCCCAAAAGAGGGGGAUAACACUUGGAAACAGGUGCUAAUACCGCAUAACCAUAGUUACCGCAUGGUAACUAUGUAAAAGGGGGCUAUACUACCGCUUUUGGAUGGGCCCGCGGCGCAUUAGCUAGUUGGUAGGGUAAAGGCUUACCAAGGCAAUGAUGCGUAGCCGAAUUGAGAGGUUGAUCGGCCACAUUGGGACUGAGACACGGCCCAAACUCCUACGGGAGGCAGCAGUAGGGAAUCUUCCACAAUGGGCGAAAGCCUGAUGGAGCAACGCCGCGUGGGUGAAGAAGGUCUUCGGAUCGUAAAACCCUGUUGUUAGAGAAGAAAGUGCGUGAGAGUAACUGUUCACGUUUCGACGGUAUCUAACCAGAAAGCCACGGCUAACUACGUG